UGGCUCAGGAUGAACGCUGGCGGCGUGCCUAACACAUGCAAGUCGAACGAAGUUACUUGCUUAGAUCUCUUCGGAGUGACGAGCUUUUAACUUAGUGGCGGACGGGUGAGUAACACGUGAGCAACCUGCCUUUCAGAGGGGGAUAACGGCUGGAAACGGUCGCUAAUACCGCAUGACAUAUUGAAUCGGCAUCGGUUUAAUAUCAAAGGAGCAAUCCGCUGAAAGAUGGGCUCGCGUCUGAUUAGAUAGUUGGUGGGGUAACGGCCUACCAAGUCGACGAUCAGUAGCCGGACUGAGAGGUUGAACGGCCACAUUGGGACUGAGAUACGGCCCAGACUCCUACGGGAGGCAGCAGUGGGGAAUAUUGCACAAUGGGGGAAACCCUGAUGCAGCAACGCCGCGUGAAGGAAGACGGUUUUCGGAUUGUAAACUUCUUUUCUUAGUGAAGAAGCAAGUGACGGUAGCUAAGGAAUAAGCAUCGGCUAACUACGUGCCAGCAGCCGCGGUAAUACGUAGGAUGCGAGCGUUAUCCGGAAUUACUGGGUGUAAAGGGAGCGCAGGCGGGACUGCAAGUUGGAUGUGAAAUACCGCAGCUUAACUGCGGAGCUGCAUCCAAAACUGUAGUUCUUGAGUGGAGUAGAGGCAAGCGGAAUUCCGAGUGUAGCGGUGAAAUGCGUAGAUAUUCGGAGGAACACCAGUGGCGAAGGCGGCUUGCUGGGCUCUAACUGACGCUGAGGCUCGAAAGUGUGGGGAGCAAACAGGAUUAGAUACCCUGGUAGUCCACACUGUAAACGAUGAUAGCUAGGUGUGGGGGGUCUGACCCCUUCCGUGCCGGAGUUAACGCAAUAAGCUAUCCACCUGGGGAGUACGGCCGCAAGGUUGCAACUCAAAGGAAUUGACGGA
RNAcentral lists this ribosomal RNA (903 nucleotides) under uncultured Bacillota bacterium. RNAcentral describes it as "bacterial SSU rRNA". It matches the Rfam family "Bacterial small subunit ribosomal RNA", at positions 20 to 917 of the family's 1533-position model. Lineage: Bacteria; Bacillati; Bacillota. The record is from RNAcentral.